RNAcentral lists this ribosomal RNA (440 nucleotides) under uncultured bacterium. Its description in RNAcentral is "bacterial SSU rRNA". It matches the Rfam family "Bacterial small subunit ribosomal RNA", at positions 355 to 787 of the family's 1533-position model. The record is from RNAcentral.
UGGGGAAUAUUGGACAAUGGGCGAAAGCCUGAUCCAGCCAUGCCGCGUGUGUGAAGAAGGUCUUCGGAUUGUAAAGCACUUUAAGUUGGGAGGAAGGGCAUUAACCUAAUACGUUAGUGUUUUGACGUUACCGACAGAAUAAGCACCGGCUAACUUCGUACCAGCAGCCGCGGUAAUACGAAGGGUGCAAGCGUUAAUCGGAAUUACUGGGCGUAAAGCGCGCGUAGGUGGUUUGUUAAGUUGAAUGUGAAAGCCCCGGGCUCAACCUGGGAACUGCAUCCAAAACUGGCAAGCUAGAGUAUGGCAGAGGGUGGUGGAAUUUCCUGUGUAGCGGUGAAAUGCGUAGAUAUAGGAAGGAACACCAGUGGCGAAGGCGACCACCUGGGCUAAUACUGACACUGAGGUGCGAAAGCGUGGGGAGCAAACAGGAUUAGAUACCC